GACGAACGCUGGCGGCGUGCUUAACACAUGCAAGUCGAACGGAAAGGCCCUGCUUUUGUGGGGUGCUCGAGUGGCGAACGGGUGAGUAACACGUGAGUAACCUGCCCUUGACUUUGGGAUAACUUCAGGAAACUGGGGCUAAUACCGGAUAGGAGCUCCUGCUGCAUGGUGGGGGUUGGAAAGUUUCGGCGGUUGGGGAUGGACUCGCGGCUUAUCAGCUUGUUGGUGGGGUAGUGGCUUACCAAGGCUUUGACGGGUAGCCGGCCUGAGAGGGUGACCGGCCACAUUGGGACUGAGAUACGGCCCAGACUCCUACGGGAGGCAGCAGUGGGGAAUAUUGCACAAUGGGCGGAAGCCUGAGGCAGCAACGCCGCGGGCGGGAUGACGGCCUUCGGGUUGUAAACCGCUUUCGCCUGUGACGAAGCGUGAGUGACGGUAAUGGGGAAAGAAGCACCGGCUAACUACGU
RNAcentral lists this ribosomal RNA (467 nucleotides) under uncultured bacterium. RNAcentral's name for it is "partial 16S ribosomal RNA". It matches the Rfam family "Bacterial small subunit ribosomal RNA", at positions 28 to 506 of the family's 1533-position model. The record is from RNAcentral.